AGCAGCCGCGGUAAUUCCAGCUCCAAUAGCGUAUAUUAAAGUUGUUGCAGUUAAAAAGCUCGUAGUUGAACUUCGGGGUUUACCCAUUGGUCAGGCUUAAUUGUCUGUACUGGUGAGAUAAAUCUCUACCUUCUGAGGAACUUUCAUGCCAUUUAUUUGGUGUGAUUGGAAAUCAGGACUAUUACUUUGAAAAAUUAGAGUGUUUAAAGCAGGCUAAAGUCUGAAUACAUUAGCAUGGAAUAAUGAAAUAGGACGGAUUUGAUUCUAUUUCGUUGGUUUCUAGGAUCACCGUAAUGAUUAAUAGGGAUAGUUGGGGGCAUUAGUAUUCAAUUGUCAGAGGUGAAAUUCUUGGAUUUAUUGAAGACUAACUACUGCGAAAGCAUUUGCCAAGGAUGUUUUCAUUAAUCAAGAACGAAAGUUAGGGGAUCGAAGACGAUCAGAUACCGUGUA
RNAcentral lists this ribosomal RNA (450 nucleotides) under uncultured Diversispora. RNAcentral's name for it is "SSU rRNA". It matches the Rfam family "Eukaryotic small subunit ribosomal RNA", at positions 569 to 1022 of the family's 1831-position model. Lineage: Eukaryota; Fungi; Glomeromycota; Glomeromycetes; Diversisporales; Diversisporaceae. The record is from RNAcentral.